RNAcentral lists this non-coding RNA (31 nucleotides) under Mus musculus (house mouse). Lineage: Eukaryota; Metazoa; Chordata; Mammalia; Rodentia; Muridae. The record is from RNAcentral.
CAGGAUUUAGCCCUUUCUUAACUAUGGACUC